AUGGAUCAAGCAAUCAAGGGCACAGGGUGGAUGUCUAGGCACGGACUGGCGAGGAAGGACGUGGCAAGCUGCGAUAAGCCAGGGGUAGCUGCAAGCAAGCGUUAAUCCCUGGAUUUCCGAAUGGGGAAACCCGGCCGGGGUGAUGCCCGGUCAUCCCUUCGCUGAAUACAUAGGCGUUGGGAAGCGAACCGAGGGAACUGAAACAUCUAAGUACCUCGAGGAAGAGAAAACAACCGUGAUUCCCUCAGUAGCGGCGAGCGAACGGGGAAGAGCCCAAACCAUGGAGGUGUCAAAGGCGGCAGCCGUUGCUUCCAUGGGGUAGGAGGGUGGUUCGCGGGAGUCUGCCGGCUCUCGGAGCGUCGCGCGGCGGUGAGUCGAAUCCGUCUGGAAAGCCAAGCCAUAGAGGGUGACAGCCCCGUAGGCGAAGCCGACGUUGCGAUCUCUGGACCAUUCCUGAGUAGGUCGGGACACGUGAAAUCCCGAUUGAAUCCGGCAGGACCACCUGCCAAGGCUAAAUACACGUCCGUGACCGAUAGCGAACGAGUACCGUGAGGGAAAGAUGAAAAGUACGCCGGGAGGCGGGUGAAACAGAUCCUGAAACCGUGUGCCUACAAGCGGUGGGAGCUCGACCCUUUCUUCGUGAGAGACGUCGGGUGACCGCGUGCCUUUUGCAUUAUGAUCCGGCGAGUUGUUCCUCAGUAGCGAGGUUAAGCCGUUCAGCGGCGGAGCCGAAGCGAAAGCGAGUCUUAACUGGGCGUAGAGUUGCUGGGGACAGACCCGAAACCAGAGUGAUCUAUCCAUGGCCAGGUUGAAGCGAGGGUAAUGCUUCGUGGAGGACCGAACCGUUGUGGGUUGAAAACUGCUCGGAUGAGCUGUGGAUAGGGGUGAAAGGCCAAUCAAACCUGGAGAUAGCUGGUUCUCCCCGAAAGAUAUUUAGGUAUCGCCUCUGAGUGUAGACUGCGGGAGGUAGAGCACUGGAAGGGCUAGGGCCCUAAACCGGGUACCAACCCCUACUAAACUCCGAAUGCCCGUUAGUUGGUCUCAGGGAGGAAGUGCACGUGCGAUAAUGUUCGUGCGCGAGAGGGAAAGAGCCCAGACCGUCAGCUAAGGUCCCCAAGUGCUAGCUAAGUGACAAAGGUGGUGGAUUUGCGGAGACAACUGGGAGGUUGGCUUAGAAGCAGCCAUCCUUGAAAGAGUGCGUAAUAGCUCACCAGUCAAGCGGAUCUGCGCCGAUAAUGGUCGGGACUGAAGUUAGCCACCGAAGCUAAGGCUGCGCGCACAUGCGCGCGGGGUAGGGGAGCGUUGCCUGAGCCGUGAAGCGGGGCCGGAAGGCUACCCGUGGAGCGCAGGCAAGUGAGAAUGCCGGAAUGAGUACGCGAGAAACAAGGUGAGAACCCUUGUCGCCGUAAGCCCAAGGUUUCCUGAGCCAUGCCAAUCAGCUCAGGGUUAGUCGGCCCCUAAGGUGAGGCCGAAAGGCGUAGCCGAUGGAAAACGGGUCAACAUUCCCGUACCACACGAUACUGCGCUUGAGUCUGCGGAGGGACGCAGAGGUGAAAGGUCCGUCGUUUCCAUGGACAUGAACGAUGUAAGGACGUAGGCGUUUCCGGGUAGGCAAAUCCGCCCGGUGAAGCCGAGAUCCGAUGCCGAAGAAGUCUUCGGACUUCGCUAAGGGACCGUAAUCGUACUGCCAAGAAAAGCUUCGUGGACGAGGAGUACGUGUGACCGUACCGUAAACCGACACAGGUGGGCGAGGCGAGUAGCCUCAGGCGCUCGAGUGAGUCUUGGUUAAGGAACUCGGCAAAAUGUCCCCGUAACUUCGGGAGAAGGGGAGCCGGCGGUAGGUGACCCUGCCUCGCGCAGGAGAGCCGAAACCGGCCGCAGAGAAUCGGCCCAAGCGACUGUUUAGUAAAAACACAGGUGUCUGCAAAGUCGUCAAGACGACGUAUAGGCACUGACGCCUGCCCGGUGCCGGAAGGUUAAAUGGAAGGGUUAGCUUCGGCGAAGCUCUGAAAUGAAGCCCCGGUAAACGGCGGCCGUAACUAUAACGGUCCUAAGGUAGCGAAAUU
This 2066-nucleotide ribosomal RNA is filed under the name Gemmatimonadales bacterium. Its description in RNAcentral is "partial 23S ribosomal RNA". It matches the Rfam family "Bacterial large subunit ribosomal RNA", at positions 1 to 1966 of the family's 2925-position model. Lineage: Bacteria; Pseudomonadati; Gemmatimonadota; Gemmatimonadia; Gemmatimonadales. The record is from RNAcentral.